Macaca mulatta (Rhesus monkey) is the source of this 6263-nucleotide non-coding RNA. The record is from RefSeq and is a predicted model, not a curated record. NCBI's taxonomy places the organism in Eukaryota, Metazoa, Chordata, Mammalia, Primates, Cercopithecidae.
GCCACCGCGCCCAGCCUAGGAUACUAUCUUAAUAUCCAUCACAUCUGCAAAAUACCUUCACAGCAGCACCUAGCUUAAAUAACUAAGGACUGUCACUGAGCCAAGCUGACACGUACACACACACACACACACACACACAUCAUCAUCAUCAUCACAGUGGGUUUACCAGUAACUUUCUUCACCAGUUUCCCAUAACUGAGCACUUGGAUUGCAUUCUUGUUAUUUGUGUUUACAGACUUAUUUAACAUUAUACUUACAGAAGCUUCUGUGGGGAGUUUUUAGUUUAUAGAUAAGGACAUCAGGACCAUCAGUUACAGUAAACUGCCUAAGCUGUUCUCUUAUGCUGUGUACUAUUAAGAAUAAAAUAAAAUUUGUUCUUUUUCUGAAUUGCUGUCACAGAUGCGACGUGCUCUGCGGAAGCUUAGGAACAUCUAAGCUACUUUAAUGUACUCUCACUUAAGUCAUUUAAAGAUGGAUAGAGGUGCUGAUAAAUAAGUAAAUAUGACAAUAAGAAGUGGGAAUGAUAGGGCCUUAGGUGCCCACCUGCAGACUAGAGUGCUGUGUGGGGCCAGGCUGUGCCCCGAGCACAUCUAGGGUGUGUGGCUGGUGUCUGAUACACAUCUCAGAACGCAGAGUGGAACAGAACAGAAUCAGAAAACUGUUUCACUUUCAGCAACAAUGCAUGCUGGUGUUGCUUUUCCAUAGAAAUAGAAAGUGAUAAAUCUAAAAUUACAUGAUAUUUUGCUUUAAAUAACAGCUCAUUUUUAUUAAGAUUAUCUGCUAAUAAUAGAAUGAAGAUAAAAUACAUUUAAAUGCAUUUUACAAGUUUAAGUUUUUCUUGAUGUUUGGUAACCGGUUUUUACAUUUUUGUGUUUGAGAUAUAUUAAAUAUUUACUUUUGUUAAUAUAUUGUAUAAUUUCUAAAUAGUUCCUCUUGUUCUUAAAAACCAAUGUACUUUUUCGAAUUGCAUUUUUCAUAGCACCCUAAAUACUUAUUACUUUGUAAAAGUAGUAUUUUUAAGGGCUACAAGAUUUGGACUCAGCAGGUGAUUCCAGGAGGCUGCUGCUUGAGGGACUCUUCAUUUGUGAUGAACACAAUUGUUUGUUUAAAACCAAAAAUCUCAGAGUUGAAUCUGAAAGGUGUGUGUCCAUGUACAUAUUCUUGAAGAUCAGAAGGCAGGUUCCUUAUUUCACGUUAAAGCACAGAUAAUUGGCUCUUAGAAAUGGAACCAAUCAAAAUGUCUACAAAUGCAGAAGACCAUGGCGGGGAAUCCUACCAGGAGAACAUCUUUGGGUCCCCUCAGGCUCCUCACUCCGGUUACCCCAACAAUUGGAGAAGAAAGGCCCAGGUAUUGGAGAACAAUGCCAAAGCAAUGCUUGAUCCUGGCUGGAGUCAGUUCUUCUGUCCUGUACUGCUGGGCUUGAUUUUCCUGUGUGGUGUAAUAGAUGGAUUAUAUGGUACUGUCAAUGUUGCUAGUAUUAAGAGGUUAGAGUUACCGCUUAUAACCCAACUCCCUGGUCAGCAAAAUCCAGUGCAAUAUCCACGCUGCCUGGGAAGGGAGCUCAGGAUGACAAGCCAACUGCGGAUGAAGUUGUGUCAAUAUCCAAAUGUAUUCCUGAUGAUACGUUCUUCUGUGCUGUUGUUGGAUCUGCAGAAGGUCAUUGCCAAUGCUGAUCAGGUUCAGAGAGGUUUAAAGCCUUCAUGCUGUCUAUUCACAAGUGGGAAUUGACUGACUCAGUUUCUUAAUCACAGCUCUGCCCCACCUGUUUAUUGAUUAGGUCAGCGUGCGGCCUUGGGCUGAUCUGUCAUAAUGGGCAUCAUUAUGACAUCAUUCUAGAACCCAGGGAUGGAACUAGCUGAGCAGGCAAGAUGGUGGCCGUACAUGCCCAGGUGACAAAAGCCAGCACAGACCCGUGUAUGGAUGGGACAGUCCCUGCAAGCAGCAGCAGAGAUCCAGCCAUUCCUGGCUGCAGCGAAAGAGGUUAAAAAGACUCUCAGAAAGUUUGACCUGUGCCCAGAUGCCACCCUCAUCCAAGAGGUUUCCUAGUCAUUCCACAGCAGCCAGUUGGUGGAACAAGAAACACACAACAUCAUGUGCUGGGCUCAAAGCCCUGGAAAGGAGAGCAGGAACUGUAAUCACGAUAUUUCGUGCUUGUCACUGCAUCAGCCUGCAUGGUCAAGCAUGUGGGCUCUGACAUGGGGACAUCCCGCAGGGGACACAGUGCCCUCAAGCUUAUUAGAUAGCUAGAUAUGACAACUGAACCAUUCUGUGGGGGGUGAAUUCAGGGAUGAAAAACAGGCCCACAGUGGGCAUGGUACAUGUCCCCACAGUGGGGAGCCAGUUCCUCUUCCAAAACUGCGGGCCUCAGAUGACCCCCAGGACCAGGUGGAGGCCUGACUUCUUGAUUGCAUGAAGGAUCUCGCAGGUCACACCUCCGAGCUGGGUCGACAUAGGUGAAUGAAGGACUGGAUGAUUUCAGUGGGUGGGACUGAAAACCGCCUUGGCUUGAAAGACCACUCUCUGGAAGGAUUUGGUGAUCAGACCUUCCUGGGGCAUUUUUUUUUCCCAAAAAUAGAAGGGAUAUAAAAAAUAUAUACAUGAGAGCCCCUGCCCCUGGCCCGCCUGGCCUGCCUGGCCUGUGGCGGCAGUGUGGCUGUGCAGGUGGCCACUCGGUUGUUUAUGUCCGUUGCAGGUCUCGUAGCAGCCUUGCAGACUGCCUGAUCAGCAGCGGCACCGGCUACGUGCCCGAGGACAGGCUCACCGCGCAGCAGCUCUUCACCAGCACCAACGGCCUCACCUACAACGACUUCCUGAUUCUCCUAGGAUUCAUAGACUUCAUAGCUGAUGAGGUGGACCUGACCUCAGCCCUGACCCGCAAGGGCUGAAGACGCCGCUGAUCUCCUUCCCUGUGGACACUGACAGAGGCUGACAUGGCAAUCGGGAUGGCUCUGAUGGAAGGUAUUGGUAUCAUUCACCACAACUGCACCCCAGAGUUCCAGGCCAACGAGGUGCGGAAGGUCAAGAAGUUUGAACAGGGCUUCAUCACAGACCCCGUGAUGCUGAGCCCCUUGCACACCGGGGGUGAUGUGCUGGAGGCCAAGAUGCAGCAUGGCUUCUCUGGUAUCCUCCUCACUGAGACGGGCACCAUGGGCAGCAAGCUGGUGGGCAUCGUCACCUCCCGAGAUGUCAAGGGACAUCCUGCUGAGAGGGACCACACCACCUUCCUCAGUGAGAUAAUGACGCCAAGGAUGAAACUGGUGGUGGCUCCAGCAGGCAUGACGUUGAAAGAGGCAAAUGAGGUCCUGCAGUGUAGCAAGAAAGGGAAGCUGCCUAUUGUCAGUGAUCGUGAUGAGCUGGUGGCCAUCAUUGCCCACACCGACCUGAAGAAGAAUCGAGACUACCCUCUGACCUCCAAGGAUUGCCACAAGCUGCUGCUGUGGGGGGCAGCUGUGGGCACCCGUGAGGAUGACAAAUACUGCCUGGACCUGCUCACCCAGGCGGGCGUCAACGUCAUAGUCUUGGACUCGUCCCAAGGGAACCCAGUGUAUCAGAUCACCAUGGUGCAUUACAUCAAACAGAAGUAGCCCCACUUCCAGGUGAUUAGGGGGAACGUGGUGACAGCAGCCCAGGCCAAGAACCUGAUUGAUGCUGGUGUGGAUGGGCUGUGCCUGGGCAUGGGCUGCGGCUCCAUCUGCAUCACCCAGGAAGUGAAGGCCUGCAGUUGGCCCCAGGGCACUGCUGUGUACAAGGUGGCCGAGUAUGCCCAGUGCUUUGAUGUGCCCAUCAUAGCCGAUCUUGACCAUGGGGCAUGUGGUCAAAGCCCUGGCCCUUGGAGCCUCCACAGUGAUGAUGGGCUCCCUGCUGGCCACCACCGUGGAGGCACCUGGCGAGUACUUCUCAGACGGGGGGCAGCUCAAGAAGUACCAGGGCAUGGGCUCACUGGAUGCCAUGGAGAAGAGCAGAAGCAGCCAGAAAUCCCCCCUCAGCGAGGGGGAUAAGGUAAAGAUCGCACAGGGUGUCUUGGGCUCCAUCAAGGACAAAGGGUCCAUUCAGAAGUUCGAGCCCUGUCUCAUAGUGGGCAUCCAGCAUGGCUGCCAGGAUAUCGGGACCCACAGCCUGUCUGUCCUUCGAUCCAUGAUGUACUCAGGAGACCUCAAGUUUGAGAAGCGGACCAUGUCGGUCCAGAUUGAGGGUGGUGUCCAUGGCCUGCACUCUUACGAGAAGCGGCUAUACCGAGGACAGCAGUGGAAGCUGAGGUGGUGGAGGGGGUGCACCCCAGUGUCCACCUUCGGGCACAGUCUCCCUCCAUCACUGAGUGAUCCACAGAUUUGCACUACAGGUUCCCCAGCUCCUUUCUAGGGAGAGAGGAGGGGAGGUCCUGAGGGGUCUGUGGCCUCUUGCUCAGCAUCCCCUGCAGAGUCAGGACUGCUCCCUGGGCCAGGCUGCCCUGGGAGCGCCCCCAGCCCGGCCAGCUGGACUCUCAGGCCCUGCACCUGCCCUAGGUCUUUCUUGCUCCUCCAGCCUGGCCCCCACCCCAGGGGCAGGCAGCCCUUCCUGGCUUCUCCUGUAGGACGCCUCUGUGCCCCCAGCCCCCCAGGAAAUGGUGCUCUCCUGGCCCUGCCUCUGGCCCUUCCAGGGCCGCUGCCCCCUCAGCCAUGUGGCACUUCUGAGCUCUUGACCUAGGCCAAGGGGAGGUCUCUGCCCCCCUCCCCAGCCCUGGGCUACCCUUGGGUCCUGCUCCUCAGGCCACUCCCCUGUCACUGGCCCUGGGGAGGAGGCUGCCCUGGUCAUGGCCACCUGCCUGUCAUUCCUGACUCACCACCGUCCCCAGGUGUACAAUUCCUGCUCUCUCCUCAGCUGCAGAUGAAGGCUUUAACUUUGCACACUUUGGGAUCACAGUUACAUCAGUGUGUAUUAAAUAAUCAGAAUAAAUCAAGUAGGUUUCAACGCCUCCAAGUAUCUAUAUCUAUGUACAGAUAUAUAGAUACAUAUAUAUAGAUAUCAGUCUCAUGCCACUCUUCAUCCCAAAAAGUAACACUAUUUUUAUCCAUUUCUUAAUCCCUACUGCUGCUUUCUGCAGAUACCAGCUAAAUCAAAUGUGAAUUCCUGCUCCCUUCUUCACACCCAGAAGGUAGCAUACAUAAAUGUUCAGUAUCUUAAUUUUUUUUCCACAUAACACAGAAAACAGGUGUCGUGACCCCAUUGCAGUUACUGCUGUGGUGGCAAAUGGACUCGUCAGAGGAGGGGAGUCCGAAAAUGCAGAACUGCCAGGCAAGGAGCCUAGAGGUAAGAGAACGCAAGUCCAUGUCAGUAGGGUAAGGUUCAAAGUGCAUCCCGGAGAGCCUGCUUCCCUGGCAAAGGUACUACCAAAACACUAACGAGUCCUCAAGAAAGACAGAGAAGACUGGGGUGUGUGUGUGUAUGGGGUGGGGGUGGGGGAGCCCUGGGGCUCUGUGGGCUCUUAGCAGAAGAGUUGCAGCCCCUGCCCUGGGAAUCACAUGUAGUGAUUGCUGAGUGUAGAACAGCCAUUGUAUAUCCUGGGGUCACAGGGAAUAGAGAUCUUCUCCCGAAAUUGGACAAGGAAGAGUGCCUGUCUGGGCUCACCCCCUUGAUGCUUAUGUAAUAUUUUGAGCUUGAAGUGUUGGAUGAGACCUUGAGACCUGAAGGGAAGGGAGGAGCUUGGAGGGAGGGACACCAAGUACUUCAAACGUCCUGGGAAGUGAAGAAAGAAAUGUAUAUUGGCCGCCACCAAGAAGAAGAUGGCAGGGAGGUUUCCCCUGAGAACUAGGAGGAGUCGGUGGUCCUCUAGCACUGUGGGUGGAGAUGCUGCCUUCGGGAUUCACUAUGGGUGAUGACUGGAUGGGACCAGAAAGAUAAAAGGUCUGGACUUCUCUGGUCUUGUGCAGUGUGCACCACCAUGGGAAAGGGCUCUAAUAUUUGCAAAACACCUACUACGUGUCAGACAUUAUACUGGGUGACUUUCAUAUGCUUUUAUAUGUUUGCCCAGGGUUAAGGUCCUUUAUUUAUUUUUUUUAAUGGUCAGUAUUUCAUUGUGGCAUUCUUUUAUUCAAAUUAAAAUUAAACUUAUUUUUAUGAGAUCAAUGUAAUUAACUACAUGUCUAAUAUAAAGAGCAACAAACCUUGUUAUUUUAAAACUACAGAACAUUAUUUUGAUAUAUUGAGCCAAAUAUGCAAAACUUGACUUAAAAUUGCAUAUUUGACACCUUUGUUUAAGAUAAUAAAUUCUAAAUGAAAAUCUAAA